CAGGAAUUUGGAGACCCCCUCUUAGUGUCUCAUGUCCCCCAAGGGGGUCCCAACCCCAAGGUUGAGAACCACGGCUUCAGAGGAUCCAGCCUUUGCAGCCUGGUUAGACUAUCAGGAUGAGACGUGAUGUUGAUGUAGCACCGUCUUGUUCCUGCUGUCUCUGAAGAGAGAAUAAAGAAGGAGACAUCAGAACUAUCAGAGUUAAAUAAUGAUAAUGCCAAUAAUGCCAUCACUUUGAUAAAUCUACUAUGUAUGCAUCAGGAAGUUCUUCCAAAUGUCUUCUCUGACAUUAAAGGAGCAUCAUCUUACACAUCA
Cheilinus undulatus (humphead wrasse) is the source of this 315-nucleotide long non-coding RNA. RefSeq lists it as uncharacterized. Lineage: Eukaryota; Metazoa; Chordata; Actinopteri; Labriformes; Labridae. The transcript is spliced from 2 exons. The record is from RefSeq and is a predicted model, not a curated record.